Siniperca chuatsi (mandarin fish) is the source of this 2104-nucleotide long non-coding RNA. RefSeq lists it as uncharacterized. The record is from RefSeq and is a predicted model, not a curated record. The transcript is spliced from 3 exons. Lineage: Eukaryota; Metazoa; Chordata; Actinopteri; Centrarchiformes; Sinipercidae.
UAACAUUCCAGUUUAAAAAAUAACAUUCUAAGGGGUUCCAAGUAUAUUUUGCAGUGUUUGCCAACAUUAAAAACUGACAAAAACGUGCUGAUCUCCACCAUCAGGCACAAUCUGUGUGUGUACACAUUGUUUGAAGUGCUCAAAACCCAUCAUCAUUUAGAGACUCACGCUGACAAUGGAAGAACCACAAGCACAAAUGUCUUCAAGAUGCAGAAGGGAGAAAAGGAGGACUCCCUUCUAUCAGAUCCCCUACUUCCUGAGCUCUGAUGACGGUGAUGAUAUGAUGAUGGCUGAUGAAGUGGAUGUACAGGAUGUACAGGCCAACUCCACAGAUGCACAGAGCAUCAUCUACUACACUCUCCUCUUUCUAAAAGUGGGACUGUGGAUCAUCUUUGUUUGGAUCUUGUCUCACCUCCACCUGGGCGUGCCAUGUUUUCUCCUGACACUGACUAUCUGGCUGUAUUCAGGGCCGAUGCGAGAAGCUCUGAACUGGGCUAAGAGGCGUCUGCGGGGCCCAGUUGCAUAAAGUGUCACACUGAGUUGAAGCAGGAGAGAUUUAAAAAAAAAAAAAAAAAAAAGAGAGUUCCUCUGCUUUUCAAUAAUUUAUCUAAUCUCAUUUUAACAGAGUAUGAUUUAUUGACUGUAUAUACAUUUCCAAGAUUUUACCCCUGUGUGGGUCUGUCAGUGUAAAGUAUUAGUUGUAUGUUGAGACAAAGAAGUGUAGAAGGGAUAGUAACUUUCUUGACAGUACAGAGACAUACAGUACACAUUCAUGCAAAGACAUCAGUAAAACAGAAGUGACAACAAUUUUGGUUUCCAUCCAUUUUAAUUGAAUUUGUAGACUUUCAAACAAACAUGUACAAAUUGCAAAACAGCUUUUGGUAACAUCUCAUUCUUUGUUAUCAUCAUUAUUAGGAAAUAAAUUAAGUGAAUAAAAAUGAACCAUGUGAAUAUAGAACAGAAAGAAUAAUACCACAAAGAGCAAAAAAACAAAAGAGGCAACUGUUUUCCACAGAGGGUCAACUGCAUCUCAUUUGUAGUAAACUGAACUUAACUGCCAAACAGGCUUUCGCUGGUCAGUCGAACUGAAGUACCUCCUCAUGGUAAAUGACACAACAUUCUGUACCUGUCUAGUUUGAAAUUGUCGUCUAAUUUGUACUAAUUUGUACUGUACUACUGCAUUUAUACACCAGGUGGCAUCACUAUCACAUAGCAAAACGGCCUGGUUCUGACACCCACUCCUGACCACUAGUUUUCUUACUGUGCUUGAACGGAUUGGGUGAUGUGAAAGGAGGAUAGCUGGCAUUUUACUAAAAAGCUUCCAAGAAAAAAAUUGUCUUCACUAUGCACUAAACAAUUCAAAUAUUGUGGAGCAUUUUGUGAAGCUUGCUUUUUAUUUACUUUGAUUAUUUGGUCUUUUUAACACUGCACGGGAUUACUUAGAUAUGUUAGACACUUGCAAAAUUGCAACCUGUGCUGUUAGAUAUUUCUAUAUAUAGAUAUCUUUAUCUGCAUCUUCCCACAAAGACUAGGAAAGGACAAUUUUAUAAGCACUUUUAGUACACCAUUUAUCCAGUAUGUCUGCAGAUAAAAUACUGAUCAUAAGUGACUCAUAGUUAAAUGUCUGUGCAAGAAAUUUCCAUGGGUACAACGUUUUAACAAAUUCUCAGCAUCGUUCACUACAAAUCAAGAGGAUUAUAUGGGGGGAAAUUAUCUGGAUGAGAACAAAUAAUAAAGAUACCCAGGAAAAUGUAAAUACCAGCUCUGUGUAAGAAGCGGCAUGUUUUUGUGUGGGUGUGGAGUUGAAGCACAGGGAGGCAUAACAGAGUGGAGGAAUCGAUGCCCAGAGGGCGUUGUGUUCGGGUAGAGUGUGUCCACUGCCAGCAGCAUCUGAUUUAGCCUCUAUAUUUCAUCCACGCCGGUCUCUUCUCAUCCUUUGCAACUCAUGGGGACAUGCGCUUGUUCAAUGGUUAAAUAUAUAAAAUGUGCACAACAACCGCAAGUUCACCGCAUACGCUAUAAUGUGUUCAAACUGUUAAAGUGGAAUAUGAGAAACGUUAUUUGUGUCUACGGAUUUUUGCAUUGCACAGAAACCUCAGUCUCA